UUAGAGUUUGAUCUUUGCUCAGAUCGAACGCUGGCGGCAUGCUUAACACAUGCAAGUCGAACGCCCCUUUCAGGGGGAUUGCUCUAUUGGUGACUAGCGCCUGAGAGCUGACCUCUUUGUUCGAACUAGCUCAUGGACGCGUGAUCUAAUACCGGAUACACGCUUUUGGGCACAUAUUUCUCACAGAGAAAUCGGCCCGAUUCUGAUUAGCUAGUUGGUGAGGUAAUGGCUCACCAAAGCGACUAUCAGUAGCUGGUCUGAGAGGCAUGAUCACCCACUCUGGGAGUGAGCCACGGCCCAGACUCCUGCCGGAGGCAGCAGCCGGGAAUAUUGGCCAAUGGGGGCAACCAUGAUCCCCGCCAUGGCCGCGUGAGUGAUGAAGCCCUAGGGGGUAGUACAUCUCCUUUUAUCCGGGAAGAUAAUGACUGUACCGGAAGAAUAAGCCCCGGCUAACUUCGUGCCAGCAGCCGCGGUAAUACGAAGGGGGCUAGCGUUGUUCGGAAUCACUGGGCGUAAAGGGCGCGUAGGCGGUUGAUUAAGUCAGGGGUGAAAUCCCGGGGCUCAACCUCGGAAUUGCCCUUGAUACUGCUAGUCUUGAGAUUGUCAGAGGUAAGUGGAAUUGCGAGUGUAGCGGUGAAAUUCGUAGAUAUUCGCAAGAACACCGGUGGCGAAGGCGACCCCCUGGUCCAUAUCUGACGCUCAGGCGCGAAAGCGUGGGGAGCAAACAGGAUUAGAUACCCUGGUAGUCCACGCCGUAAACGAUGGAUGCCAGCUGUUGGGGAGCAUGCUGUCCAGUGGCGCAGUCAACACAUUAGAGCAUCCCGCGUGGGGAGUGCGGUCGCAAGAGUAAAACUCAAAGGAAUAGACGGGGGCCCGCACACGCGGUGGAGCAUGUGGUGUAAUUUGAAGCAACGCGCAGAACCCUACCAGCUCCCGACAUCCCUUGCUACAUGGAGAGAUUCAUGGUUCCGUUCGCGGACGCGGAGACACGCGCUGCAUGCCUGUCGUCAGUUAGUGUCGUGAGAGGGAGGGUUAAGUCCCGCAACGAGCGCAACCCUCCUCCGUCGUUGCCAUCAUUAAGUGGGCCACUUUAGGGAUACUCCCGGUGCUAACCCGGAGGAAGGUGGGGAGGACGUCAAGUCUUCAUGGCCCUUACGGGAUGGGCUCCCCACUCGCUCCAAUGGCGGUGCCAGAGGGCAGCGAAAGGGCGACCGUCAGCUAAUUCCUAAAACCCGUCUCAGUUCAGAUUGCACUCUGCAACUCGAGUGCAUGAAGUCGGAAUCGCUAGUAAUCGCAGAUCAGCAUGUUGCGGUGAAUACGUUCCCGGGCCUUGCACACACCGCCCGUCA
RNAcentral lists this ribosomal RNA (1349 nucleotides) under uncultured bacterium. RNAcentral describes it as "16S ribosomal RNA". It matches the Rfam family "Bacterial small subunit ribosomal RNA". The record is from RNAcentral.